RNAcentral lists this ribosomal RNA (110 nucleotides) under Notechis scutatus (mainland tiger snake). Lineage: Eukaryota; Metazoa; Chordata; Lepidosauria; Squamata; Elapidae. The record is from RNAcentral.
CUAAAAAUUGAUAGCACCCAGUUGCCCUUGGUUGAUCUCAUAGGUUAAGCAGGAUCGUGCUUGAUUUGCAUAUGGAUGGGGCACCAUCUGGAAAUUUCAGGGCUGUUGGC